Long non-coding RNA from Carya illinoinensis, 2271 nucleotides. RefSeq lists it as uncharacterized. The record is from RefSeq and is a predicted model, not a curated record. The transcript is spliced from 2 exons. NCBI's taxonomy places the organism in Eukaryota, Viridiplantae, Streptophyta, Magnoliopsida, Fagales, Juglandaceae.
UUGAGCUUAACCGUUUUAUCUUCCGUUUAUCAAUGCCUUGACUGGAUUGGUAAUCGAGAAAAUUUAUCUAGAAUCCGAAAUAAAGAGAAUCUCAAACCCAACCCAAGUGUUUGUUAAUUUGUUUUUCAGAAACUCCAAUUUCAGUUUCGAUUGUCUUUUUGCAUUUCUUUUUAUUUUCACCUCUUAUAAUCGACACCAUGUUACCCAAAAACCAAAAAAAUCUCAUAAAUGCUUUGAUAACCCAUUGUCCCUGUGGAAUACGAUCCUGGACUUAUCCUUGAUACAACUUGACACUUCUGCACUUGGAAGCACAUUCUCGAGACGAGUCAAGUUUUUGGCGCCGUUGCCGGGGACAACUGGUGUUUAUCAGAGCAUUCAUCUACUGCUGAGAGGACGUUCGUGGAGCUGUGAAUCUCUUCACAGCCUAGUUCAAAUAAAUCCAAUUGGAACUGUUGACCGAAGAGAAAGACCUUCAUCUGUCUUGUUGUUCUCAUCCAAUCCGAUUCCAAGGUUAAGGAUGGCUAACUGUGUGUCAGAUGCUGUACAUGUUGAAGAUGGAGUUGAUCAGUUAACUGGUACACAUAGUGGUACCAACGCCUGUGACGCUUUGGAAGGACAAAAAUUAUGAUGUCCAACACCCAUUCUACUAUUUAAUCAUAUGAUGACGAUAAUUUAAUCAUAUGCUCAGUUACAAGUUGAUGUCAAAAUCCAAAUGAAAAGGGCCACUUGGUCACUCGGACACCACAUGCUCACAUGCAGCACCAUGGGGAUGAAAGCAAAAGAAGACAGCACAUGAGGCACAUAAAGUAUUCAGGACGACAACAGGAAAGUAGAGAGUGGGAGAGUAAUGAGUGGAUUGAGUGGAUGAACGAGCUUGCUUUACUUUUGUUUUCGAGUAGCAGCUGGGGGACAUAGAGAGAUUCGGUGGGAGAAUGAGUGGGGUGUGCUGAUUAGAAUAGAGAGAAGUGUUAGCUGAGGCUGACUCAUUAAAGCCGAUGGGAAGAGAACGUGAACCGAAUCUUGAGUGGAGAGAAAAGAAGAUGGUAAUGAUUCCCUUGAGUGGAGAGAGUGGGACGGCUGGUGUGCAAUUCUUGCUUUACUUUCGAGGGGAGAGCAGAAUUUUGGGGGGAAUUGCUUUACACACGGCUACUUGAGUGGAGAGAGUGGAUGAGUGGCUUGGUUCGGCUGGAAACUUUGAGGUAAGUUGCAGCUGGGGGACAAGGAGAGAGAAAUCGGUGGAACAAAAGAAAAGAUGAUGAUGUUCACAUAGAAUAACACAUUCGGAUCUCACACCAUGGGCCACAUGCAGCACAUGCCAAAACCGAAGCUCAGCUCAUCAUGCAUGACAACAAUUCAGACAUCAUUCGGCAGGGGCCACGGCUUAAGUGGAGAGAGGCUUGAGUAGAGAGAGGCUUGAAGUGGAGACCGAGUGGGGGCUUGCCUUGCUUUCAUACGGAGGCACAAAUGAGUUGAAGAGCACAUGGCAGCAAAUCAAACCACUCACUCGGCAAUUCAGGAAAGCACCACAUAGAAUGCAUGAUCAUUGCAUGGAAACCACUCACCAGACAAUUCAUGGACAGAACAUGCAACAGCAGACACAAUCGGACAGCACCUGCAGAAAACAUUCUCGAGCUCUCAACUCAACAACACACUUCGGAUCACAUGCACUCAACUCAACCAGAUGGACAGCAAAACACAUUCACAUGACAAUCACACCAAGCACAGCUAUAAAAGGAAGGAGAAGGGGAGAACCGGGCAGCAAGUUUUAGUUUGAAGUUUUUGUUGUUAUUUUCUUUCCUUUUGUAGAGUAGUGUAGUUUAGGUUUUUUUAUUUUUCUUUCAUUUGUUUUCUUUUAUUUGUUUAAGCUUAGAGUGUUUGGUUUUGAAUUUUAUUUUCUUAGAGUGUUUAAGUUUAGAGUGUUUAAGUUUUAUUUUAUUUUCUUUCGUUUUAUGUUAUUGUGUGGUUUCAUUGUAUUUGAUUUUAAUUUUAUUCGGAACGAUAUUUCCAUAGUAUUUGUAUUAAAUAUGUUUGGCUUGGGAUUCAAUGAGUAGCUCAUAACUGUUUGGGGUUGGAUUUUCUUCAAGAUUAUGGAUUUUAAAUGAUUAACUUGAUAGAUUAUAUUUCAUUUUACAAUUGGGAAGGAUUAAAAUUCUAUGUUCUUGAAUUUGAUCAGUCGUAGACGUGAAGGCACGAUUGAUGCUUGAACUUGUAACAAGAUUUUGAUAGCUUUCUUGCACUUCUACAAUUGAUAUAAAAUCUGUCAAGCACCUU